This 440-nucleotide ribosomal RNA is filed under the name uncultured bacterium. Its description in RNAcentral is "partial 16S ribosomal RNA". It matches the Rfam family "Bacterial small subunit ribosomal RNA", at positions 338 to 795 of the family's 1533-position model. The record is from RNAcentral.
CCUACGGGUGGCUGCAGUGGGGAAUAUUGCACAAUGGGGGAAACCCUGAUGCAGCGACGCCGCGUGAGUGAAGAAGUAUUUCGGUAUGUAAAGCUCUAUCAGCAGGGAAGAUAAUGACGGUACCUGAGUAAGAAGCCCCGGCUAACUACGUGCCAGCAGCCGCGGGACUACGUAGGGGGCAAGCGUGAUCCGGAUUUCCUGGGUGUAAAGGGAGAGUAGACGGCAUGGCAAGUCUGAAGUGAAAGCCCCGGGCUCAACCGCGGGACUGCUUUGGAAACUGUUAAGCUGGAGUGCAGGAGAGGUAAGUGGAAUUACUAGUGUAGCGGUGAAAUGCGUAGAUAUUAGGAGGAACACCAGUGGCGAAGGCGGAUUGCUGGACAGUAACUGACGCUGAGGCGCGAAAGCGUGGGGAGCAAACAGGAUUAGAUACCCUGGUAGUC